Molecule: ribosomal RNA, 515 nt
Filed under: Bifidobacterium dentium
Lineage: Bacteria; Bacillati; Actinomycetota; Actinomycetes; Bifidobacteriales; Bifidobacteriaceae
Description: bacterial SSU rRNA
Rfam family: Bacterial small subunit ribosomal RNA
Source: RNAcentral
UUGGAGAGUUUGAUCCUGGCUCAGGAUGAACGCUGGCGGCGUGCUUAACACAUGCAAGUCGAACGGGAUCCCGGGGGUUCGCUCCCGGGUGAGAGUGGCGAACGGGUGAGUAAUGCGUGACCGACCUGCCCCAUACACCGGAAUAGCUCCUGGAAACGGGUGGUAAUGCCGGAUGCUCCGGUUGGAUGCAUGUCCUUCCGGGAAAGAUUCCAUCGGUAUGGGAUGGGGUCGCGUCCUAUCAGCUUGAUGGCGGGGUAACGGCCCACCAUGGCUUCGACGGGUAGCCGGCCUGAGAGGGCGACCGGCCACAUUGGGACUGAGAUACGGCCCAGACUCCUACGGGAGGCAGCAGUGGGGAAUAUUGCACAAUGGGCGCAAGCCUGAUGCAGCGACGCCGCGUGCGGGAUGGAGGCCUUCGGGUUGUAAACCGCUUUUGAUCGGGAGCAAGCCCUUCGGGGUGAGUGUACCCUUCGAAUAAGCACCGGCUAACUACGUGCCAGCAGCCGCGGUAAUAA